RNAcentral lists this ribosomal RNA (301 nucleotides) under uncultured bacterium. Its description in RNAcentral is "partial 16S ribosomal RNA". It matches the Rfam family "Bacterial small subunit ribosomal RNA", at positions 509 to 808 of the family's 1533-position model. The record is from RNAcentral.
CAGUAGCCGCGGGAAUACGUAGGUCCCGAGCGUUGUCCGGAUUUGUUGGGCGUAAAGCGAGCGCAGGCGGUUAGAAAAGUCUGAAGUGAAAGGCAGCGGCUCAACCAUUGUAGGCUUUGGAAACUGUUUAACUUGAGUGCAGAAGGGGAGAGUGGAAUUCCAUGUGUAGCGGUGAAAUGCGUAGAUAUAUGGAGGGACACCGGUGGCGAAGGCGGCUUUUUGGCCUGUAACUGACACUGAGGCGCGAAAGCGUGGGGAGCAAACAGGAUUAGAGACCCGAGUAGUCCCUGUCUCUUAUACA